Molecule: ribosomal RNA, 468 nt
Filed under: uncultured bacterium
Lineage: Bacteria
Description: partial 16S ribosomal RNA
Rfam family: Bacterial small subunit ribosomal RNA
Source: RNAcentral
GACGAACGCUGGCGGCGUGCUUAACACAUGCAAGUCGAACGGAAAGGCCCUGCUUUUGUGGGGUGCUCGAGUGGCGAACGGGUGAGUAACACGUGAGUAACCUGCCCUUGACUUUGGGAUAACUUCAGGAAACUGGGGCUAAUACCGGAUAGGAGCUCCUGCUGCAUGGUGGGGGUUGGAAAGUUUCGGCGGUUGGGGAUGGACUCGCGGCUUAUCAGCUUGUUGGUGGGGUAGUGGCUUACCAAGGCUUUGACGGGUAGCCGGCCUGAGAGGGUGACCGGCCACAUUGGGACUGGGAUACGGCCCAGACUCCUACGUGAGGCAGCAGUGAGGAAUAUUGCACAAUGGGCGGAAGCCUGAUGCAGCAACGCCGCGUGCGGGAUGACGGCCUCCGGGUUGUAAACCGCUUUCGCCUGUGACGAAGCGUGAGUGACGGUAAUGGGUAAAGAAGCACCGGCUAACUACGUG